AGAUGCCUCGAAGAGCAGUAUCAUCUAGAGGUAGAGGACAUAGCCAGCAGCUCUCUAUGAAUGAAACAGAUGAGCCAGUACAGAUGCAAGAGGAAACACUGGAGCACACUUCAACAGAUGAUUCAACAAAUUCAUAGAGUAGUUUUUAGUUUUAUGAACAUUGUUAAGUAUUAUUGAUUUAUUUUAAAUUUUAUGACGAUUGUUAAGUAUUAUGAAUUUAUUUUAAAUUUUAUGAACA
Molecule: long non-coding RNA, 238 nt
Filed under: Manihot esculenta (cassava)
Lineage: Eukaryota; Viridiplantae; Streptophyta; Magnoliopsida; Malpighiales; Euphorbiaceae
Description: long non-coding RNA (MESC_LNC011109)
Source: RNAcentral